Molecule: long non-coding RNA, 10059 nt
Organism: Callithrix jacchus (white-tufted-ear marmoset)
Lineage: Eukaryota; Metazoa; Chordata; Mammalia; Primates; Cebidae
Source: RefSeq, a predicted model, not a curated record
AAUGCUUCCCUUCUCCAGCCGCACUGCAUCCUGGGUGUCCCUCUCUCUUUCCACUGACCUCCCCAGACAGACGGAAGGGACCCCACGUGGGGAGAGCUCCUACCUCUGGUCUGAGUGCUCCGUUGGUGUCCAUCCACGUCUGGAAAGCUGCCCCAAGGUCGUCUUGUUGCUGUGCAGGGAAAAGACAGGCCCUAGCACCGGGCUUGACAGAGGCAUGGCUGUGGUCUUGCCAUGAAACAGCAACAGCCCAGGCCUGGGGCCUGGAACCCGGACUCUAGGGCUGCUCCUCAGGGUCAAGCCCCAGACCUGCUACUUGCUAACUGCAUCAUCUGCGGAAAGCUGCUUAACUCCUUUCUUCAGUUUUUUCAUCUUGAAAAUGGACCUGAUAAUACAACUCUCUCACAAGACCUGCUGAAAGGAACUCAUGGAAAGCACCCGUAGCCCAGGUGCAGUGGCUCACACCUGUAAUCCCAGCACUUUGGGAGGCCGAGGCGGGAGGAUCACUUGAGGUCAGGAGUUCAAGACCAGCCUGGCCAUCACAGCGAAAGCCCUUCUCUACUAAAAUACAAAAAUUAUCUGGGCGUAGUGGUGUGCGGCUAUAAUACCAGCUACUGGGGAGGCUGAGGCAGGAGAAUCGCUUGAACCUGGGAGGAGGAGGUUGCAGUGAGAUAAGAUUGUACCACUGCACUACAGCCUGGGUGAAAGAGCAAGACUGCAUCUCAAAAAAAAAACAGGAAAGGAAAGCACCUUAGCACUGAACAAGUACUCAAUCAGUAUUAGUGAUUACUCCAAAAAUCCAAAAUCCUCUAAUUUUCUGUUUCCUGGAUCUUUUCCCUUUCCUUUACCUUUCUUUCUUACUGAUGAGAAGGACAAGUGAAGGCUGCAGAACAGAGGCCAGGGCUGUUACUCUGUCUUUGAGGACGGUGCAGAGGGAGGGGCAAUGAGAGCAGACAGGAGGAGAGCAGAGGUUCUGAGUGAUGCCUGGCCCGAGGGCUCCUGCUGCAUUCAGUCUCUCCUCGAGGCUACUCCCUGGGACGCUGUGGGGGCCUGAUGGCAAUAGUUGUCCAGCCACCAUGCAAUAGUAAAAUGGGGAUGGACUGGUCACAGGGCUUGGGAGGAGUCAUGCUCUCGGACAGGGCCACAGCGGCCACCAGGGAGGAAGGCAGGGCCCCCAAUCUGUCCCCGGCCUGACUUUUUUUGUUUUUUGUUUCUUUUUGAGACAGUCUUGCUCUGUUGCCCAGGCUGGAGUGCAGUGGCGUGAUCUCGGCUCACUGCAGCCUCCACCUCCCGGCUUCAAGCGAUUCUCCUACCUAAGCCUCCCCUGUAGCUAGGAUUACAGGUGCUACCUACCACGCCUGGCAUAUUUUUAGUAGAGAUGGGGUUUUGCCAUGUUGGCCAGGCUGGUCUCAAACUACUGACCUCAGGUGAUCCGCCCACCUUGGCCUCCCAAAGUGCUGGGAUUACAGGCAGGAGCUACCACGCCCAGCCCCAACUCUCUUUGGAUUCAGAAUCUGAGAUGUAAGGACUCUUGCAAUCAGCCCAUGUAUGUAGAGUAUACAGAUAGGACCAUGAUCCCAGUGACCAAAGCAUCUUCCUUAAUUCAGUCAGCGGCACAUCAAAAACAGGUUUCCUGCCUCCUGGCCCAGGGCUCUUUCUGUUGCUUCCAGGUCCAAGUCUCCAGUAUGAAGUGACAAAAGGACAUGGGCAUCCCUAGGCCCAGGUUACGGCUCUAGGCACCGGGGCCAGAGAGGGCCAGCAGCCUCUUCCCCUGAACCCUUUAGGCCUUCCCCAGGUAGGCAAAAGAGAAUGUUUCCAACUUACAAAUUGGAUAGGACGCCCUGGAGGACCCUGUAAAAGAAGACAGCAGGUCAGUUAAAUGAUGGGGACAGUGUGCUGGAAUCUGGGAGGGUAUCAGGAGACUGGGGAGGCCAUCAAAGCAUGGAGGACCCACCAAGCUACCCUCUGCUCUCCUGGAGGCCUGGCAGGCCCCACUGGGCUGGUCUAUACUUUUCUGGAGGCCUGGCCCCUAGGUGUUACCCCAUGUUGGCAAAGGUGAAAGUUCGGGGCUGUCCUAUACACUCCUAGGAGUCUGUGGGCUACAAGAAGCAUGUGAGCCCUGUGAGGUUCAGGGUCAAGGCUUAGUCUGCUGACAAAACCUUGAGUCUCCUUCAAAGGAACCCCCCUCCUGCCCCCAGGAGUCCAAGAUGCACCCAGCACUCAGUUACCUACCGGAGGGCCGGGCCGCCCUCUGGGGCCGGGAGGACCCUGGGGGAACAGGAGAAGAAGAGUGAGCUCUGGUCCACAGGGUCUUCAUCUCUCCCCAUCCCAGUCCCUCCUUAGGCAGACCUGAGACUCAGGGACAAUGGUUCCUCUCGCACAGACGGAUGAUGGAGGUCCAGAGGGAGACCAUGUGCCACCGGGUGAACCCAGGAUGCUCACCCCACACCCUGCCCCACAGCCCACGCCCAGCCCACUCACCCUCGGACCUUGCAAUCCCUGGAGGGAGACAGAAGCAGGGGAGAGAGUUAGGGAACCUGGCUGAGCCCUGGCCCCACCCUGUGAGCCCACCCCUCCCCCAUCCCUGCAGCGUUGCAUCCCUCAGCCCCAGCCCAUCCACUUACCCAGUCCCCACGGCUGCCUUUGUCACCCUUCGGACCCUGCAACAAAUCACAGCCCAGUGAGACGGGCCCAGAGGGGAAUUCCCAUUUCCAGAUGGGGAAACUGAGGGUUAGACUGGCACUGAGUCACAGAGACAAUCUAGAGCCAGGAAAGCAAAGGGACCCAGGAUUCUUCCUGCCCAACACUCGCACAUACCGGGAGUCCCGAAGGUCCCAGGAUUCCAAGGGGCCCGAUGAUGCCUUCCUUUCCCUGAAGGAGAGAGAAAGGCUCAUGUGUCCUUGUCCCAGGGCCUGGGGAACGGAGGCAUGGAGACGAGGGUGGAGGGCAGCCUGAGUGUCCAAGGGAGUGGAAGGGAGAUCGUCUGAGGUAGGCCCAGGCUAUGCAUCUCCCAACCCUCUCCUGUGUGCCUAGGGGUGGGCUUCAAGAGUGGGGCAAGGGGAGGAAGAGUGGAAGGAGGGAAGUAUGGCAGCUGAGCUGGCAGGAAUGGCAGGAGUGGUGUGAAGGUGGGAACCAAGCCUGUGGGCAGAGAGGGCUCAAGAGUCAAGGAGCAAGGGGAGGAUGAAGACAGGUGCCCAGCCAGCUGAUGGCCGGCCAACCUUGAGCCUAGAACGACCAUCCCUGCUGUGACAGCAGGCAGGGGACUCACCAUCAAGCCAGGUGGCCCCCGAGGGCCCUGGAUGCCUUUGAAGCCGAUGUCUCCAGGGGGGCCCUGUGGGAGGCAGAGAAAGGGCUAUCUGUACUUGACAGUUGCUGGGUAAAGGGCCCCUGCAGCUCUCUCACCCCUGGGGUCUGCCAACCUUCACCCUCCCUGUCAAGAGAGGCCUUACCUGAGAGGCCCCAGAAGGAGUAAGAAACACCCACAGUAAUUAUUCAGCAGGUGCCAGCAGUAGGCUGGCUCAGUGCUGUGUGGCGUCUGCCUCUGGUCUUUAUUUUUGCAACAGUCUUCUACUAUCAUUGCUCCCAUUUUACAGAUGAGGAAACCAAGGCUUAAAGAGACUAAAUGACUUGCCCGAGGCAGAGUAGGUAAUUGUGUAGCUGAGCUUGGAACCUAGGUCUGCUGGAGUAGGUACCAGGGGAUGAGGGUGUUCAUGCCUGAUUCUGGUUCCAGAUUGGGUAUUUCAGCCAAUGUUUUAAGUGCCCCAUAACUAUUUGCUGAAUGAAUAAAUGAAUGAAUGGGGUGAAUGGAUGGGACCCCAGAGGAAUGGUGAGCAGUGGGAGUCCAUACCUUGGGUCCGAAGAGACCUGCCAUUCCUGGGAAGCCCAUCUCGCCGGAGUCGCCCUGCGGGGAGAACAGGAAGUGACGGAGUGAGUGAGGUCACAACCAGCAUGUCCCGCCGGUCACCCAGGUCCUCAGGGCCUGCCUUUUCCCUCCCGGCCUGUCCAGGGUGAUCAAGUGAGUGUGGACAGUCCUCCUGGGCUAGAUGCCAGUCCUCCUGGGCUCCAAGGGGAGCCUGUGCUCUCCAUCAGAUGAGAGAGCAGAGCCUGGCUCAGGAUUCCGCAGGGGAGGCUCUGCAACACUCCGGAGCUCCUGUCCCAAGUCUUCGAGGGACAGAAUAAAAGGUCCCGCAGCCGCCUCCCAUGGGUUGGAAAUGCUCUGUUAAGGAAUGAUCCCCUAAAAAUAACCCCAUUCACUGAAGGCCUACUAUGUACCACCACACCUGCAUGCUCCCAGGGACACACCAUGUCCCCUGUUCACAGAUGAGGAAACUGAGGCUCAGAAAGGUCAGGAACUUGCUGAAAGUCACACAGACACCAUGUCAUGGACUGUGCUAGAUUCAGACCCAGGGUGAACAAUUCCAGGGACCUUCGGCCUCCUCUCCUGACUCCUGCUCCCAAUCUUCCAAGAGGUUAAGAGAGCAAUCGGCAAGGGGGGAAUGCUGGGGCCUGUGCCAAGAAGGGAGAGCUGGGGGUCCCUGGGGACAGAGAUGCCUGCCAUUAUUGCGCAUUCUUGGGGCCUGGCCUUCAAGCUCAUGAGCAGAAAGACAUAAGUAGUUAGAAUCUCCUAGCCUAAUAUUUUAAGACCAGUAGCAAGCCAAUUCCCUCUACUGAGCCUGUUUCCUCAUCUGUAAAAUAGGAUAAUAUGUCAUCUCGCUCCCAAAAGGGCUGGAAGGAUGCAAUUCAAGACCCGGUGUGGAUGCAGGUAGGCUGAGGCGUCAGGCUUCAGAAGGGUUCCAUGUAAUCUAAAUUCUGUUCAGUUUUAAAAGAUAAUAGCUUUAUUGAGCUGCUGGUGAUUCUCUUGAUGGUUCUGAUUUGUCUUAUGAAUGCUUGUUGGAUAUUUGUGUAUCUCCUUUGGAAAAAAUGUCUACUUGAAUACUUGGUCCAUUUUAAAUUUGGAUUGUCUUCUUAUUCUUGAGUUGUAAGGGUUCUUUAUAUAUUAGAAAUACACAUUCCUUGUGUAUAACUUGUAAAUAUUUUCUUCCAUACUGUUCGAUUUUUCACUUUCUUAAUGGUACCUUCUGAAGCACAGAAGUUUUUGAUUUUGAGGAAGUCCAAUCUAUCUAUUUUUCUUUUUUUGCUUGUGCUUUUGGUGUCACAUUUAAGGAACUAUUGCCUAAUACAAGGUUAUAAAGAUUUGUUUUUUGUUUUCUCCUACGAUGCAUACAGUUUUAGCCUUUACAUUUUGGUCUAUAAUGCAUUUGUAGUUAAUUUUUGCCUGUGGUAUGAAGCAGGGGUCCAACUUACUUCUUUGGUAUGUGGAUAUGUGAUUGUGUGAUUGUCUUAGCACUGUUUAUUUGAAAAAAAUUCUUCUCCCAUCCAAUUGUCCUAGCACUCUUGUUAAAAAUCAAUGGACAUAAAUGUAAGGGUUUAUUUGUUUUCAUUAGUAAUUGGGAAGUGUGAAUUGUCCAACUUUAAUCUUGUUUAAAGAUCAAAAUUUUGGUUAUUCUGGGCCAUUUGCAUUUCCAUAUGAAUUUUAGGAUCAAUUUGUCAGAUUUUGUUAAAAACUCAACUUGGAUUUUGAUGGGGAUUAUAUUUCAUCUGUAGCUUCAUUUGUAGUAAGUACAGCUAUCUUAACCAUGCUAAGUCUUCUGAUCGAUGAAUAUGGGAUGUCUUUCCAUUUGUUUAUUUAUUUAUAAAAUUUAAUCAACAUUUUGAAUUUUUCAGUGAACACAUCCUGCACUUGUUUUUUUUAAGAUAGGGUCUUGAGAUGUUGCCCAGGCUGGACUUGAACUCCUGGGCUCAAGAGAUUCUCCCAUUUCAGCCUCCUCAGUAGCUAGGGCUAUAGGCACAUACCACCACGCCCAGCUUCUUGCCCUUCUUUUAUUAGAUUUAUUCCUAUUUUAUUUGAUGCUAUUAUAAACGAAAAUGUUUUUUAAUUUCAUUUUUGAAUUGUUCAUUGUUAGUAUAUAGAAAUAUAAUUGAUGUUUUUAUGUUGUAUAUACAAAUGGUAUUUUUGUAUAUUGAUCUUAUAUCCUGCAACUUUGGUUUAUUAGUUGUAAUAAUUUUGUUUUGUGGAUCUUUUACUGUUUUCCAUAUACAAGAUCAUGUCCUUUGUGAACAGAGAUAGUGUUACUUCUUCCUCUCAAAUCUAUUUCAGUUCAAUAUUGAAUAGAAGUGGUAACAAUAAACAUCCUUGGCUUGUUUCUGAUCUUGAGGGAAGUGUUCCGUCUUCUACCGUUAACUAUGAUGAUACCUGUGGAAUUUUCAUAGAUAUUUUUUAUCAGGUUGAGGAUGUUCCCUUCUGUUCCCAGGUUGUGUUAUUGUUGCUGUUUUUAUCAUCAAAGGGUGUUGAAUUUUGUCAAAUGCUUUUUCUGCAUCUAUUAAGAUGACUGUAUAAUGUUUGUCUUUAUUUUAUUAAUAUGAUGUAUUACACUGAUUUCCAAAUGUUGAACCAGCUUUGCAUUUCCAGGAUAAAUCUUACUUUGUCAUGGUAUAGAAGAAUCCUUUAGGCAUAUCGCUGAAUUCAGUUAUCUAAUAUUUUAUUAAGGAUUUUUGUGUCUGCAUUCACAAGGCUUAUUUGUCUGUUGGUUUCUUUCUUGUGAUGUCUUUCUCUGGUUGGGGUAUCAGGAUAACACUGGCUUCACAGAGCCAGUUGUGAGAUGUCCUACCUGUUCAUUUUUGCACUCUGAUCGCUGUCUCCUAUGUACCCAACAGGUGCAAAGAAGGGGUGAUUUAAAGAACAGUCUUACUAAAGUAAAACUGAAGAUAAACAACUGUACUAUUUAAAUUGUACAAUCUGAUUCAUUCUGACAUAUCUGUGUUCAUCCAUGUAACUGUCAUGAAAACCAAGAGAAAGUUUCCUCACACGCUUUUGUAGUCUCUCUUUCCCGCCUUACCCUCCCAUCUCCAGGAACCACUGAUCUAUUUUCUUUCAAUGCAGAACAGUUUGCAUUUUCUAUAAUUUUAUAAAAAUGAAACCACACAGUAUACACUAGUUUUUAUCUGAGUUCUUUCACUCAGCCUAAUUAUCUUGAGAAUCAUCCAUGUUGUUGUGUAUAUCAAUAGUUCAAUCCAUUUACUGAUAAAUAGUAUUUCAUUGUAUAAACAUACUACACUUUAUUCACCUGCUGAUAUACAUUUGAGUUUGUUUUUUUUUUCAAUUUGGGCUAUCAUAAAUAAAGCUGCCAGGCACCUUCUAGUAUAGUCUUUGUAUGGCUGAACAUCCUUAUUUAUGUAGGGUAAAUAACUAUGAAUGGAAUGAUUGGAUUAUACAGUAGGGAUAUGCUUAACUUUUAAAGACGCUGCCCAACUGAUUUCAUAGUGGUUGUACCACUGUAAAUUUCCAUUAUCAGAGUGUGAAAGUUUCAAUUGCUCCAUGUCUUCACCAAAACUUGGUGUGGUUAGUCUUUUAAAGCUCUUCACUAUUCUAAUAGGUGUGCAAUAGCAUCUUAUUGUGGUUUUAAUGAGCAUUUGUCUAAUGACUAAUGAUCUGAAUCUUUUUCUCAUGUGCUUAUUUGCUAUUGGUAUAUUUUCUUUGAAGUGUCUAUUAAAAUCCUCUGCCCAUUUUUAAAAACUGGGCUGUUUAUUUUUAUUAUUGAGUUUUGAGAGCUCUUUAUAGGUUCUGGAUACAAAUCCUUAAUCAGAUAUACGAUUUAGAAAUAUUUUAUCCCACCAUGUGGCUUGUCUUUUCCUUGUCUUAAUAGUGUCCUUUGAAGAGCAAAAUUUUAAAUGUUGAUCAGGUCUGAUUUGUCACGUUUUUUUAAUGGGUCAUGCUUUUGGUAUCAUAUCUAAGAAUCUUUGUUUUAGCCAAGUUCUUGAAGAUGUCCUUCUAUGUUGUAGAAGCAUUUUCCUUUUCGGUUUUACACGUAGGUGUAUGAUCCAGGUUGAGUUAAUUUUUGUACAUGUUAUGAGGCAUCACGUGUCUGGCACCACUUGUUAGGUAAGACUAUUUUGUAUUUGCUGAAUUGUCUUCACACUUUUGUUAAAGAUCAGUUGUCCAUAUAUGUGUGGCAUAUUCCUGGACCUUUUAUUCUGUUCCUUUGAUCUGUUAGUGCGUUUAUGGCAAUACCACAAUUUCUUGAUGACUGCAGAGUUGUAAUAAGUCUUGAAAUCAAGUGCCAUUAGUCUGUCAACUUUGCUCUUCUCUUUCAAUGUUGUUUCAGUUAUUCUAGGUCCUUUAUAUCUCAUAUGUAUCAUUAGGAUUAGCUUGUAAUUUUCUACAUGAAAACCUGAUAAGAUUUAGUUGAAAUUGUGCUGAAUCUAUAGACAAUUUUGAAGAAAUCUGACAUAUUAAUAUUGAGUCUUUUAACACAUACACAUAGUAUAUAUCUCCAUUUAUUUAAGUCUUCCUCAAUUUCUCUUACCAGUGUUCUAUAGUUUUCAGUGUAUAUAUGUUACACAUCUAAUGUCAAUGUAUCUCUAAUAGUAUUUUAUGCUAUUAUAAAGUGUUGCUUUUUAGAUUUCCAUUUCUAAUUGCUUGUUGCUAGUGUACAGAAAAGCAAUUUAUUGGUGUACAUUGAUUAGUGAAUAGAAAUGUGAUUCAUUUAUGCAUACUGACUAGUAUAUACAAUCACAUUUGUGCAUAUUGAUCUGGUGUCCUGUGAUCUUGUUAAACUCACUUAUUCUAGUAGCUUUAUUGCAGAUGCCAAUGGAUCUUCUACAUAGACAAUUGUUUCUUUUACAAAUGAAAAGUUUUAAUUCUUCCUUUAUGAUAUGAAUGCCUCUUAUUUGUUUUUCUUGCCUUAUUGCACUGGCUAGAAUUGCCAGUACAAUGUUGAAUAGAAGUGAUGAGAAUGGAUAUCCUUGACUUGUUUCUGAUCUGCUCCUUGGAAAAAAGCAUUCAGUCAAUCACUGUUAAGUAUGAUGUUGACUAAGUUUUCCAUGGAUGUACUUUAUCAAGUUGAGGAACUUCUAUACCUAGUUUCUUGUGAGUUUUUAUUCAGAAGCAGAGUUAGAUUUUUGUUAAAUGCUUUUCCUGCAACUACUGAGGUGAUCAAAUGGAUUUUCUUUUUGAGUUUGUUAAUAUAGUGAAUUAUAUUGAUUUAUUUUCAAAUGUCAUACCAUCCUUGCAUUCCUAAGAUAAACCCCACUUGGUCUUGAUGUAUUAUCCUUAAUAUAUAUUCUUAGGUUCAUCUAACUAAAAUUUUAUUGAGAAUUGUGGUAGCUAUAUUUAUGAGGCAUAUUAAUCUGUAAUUUCCUUUUCUUGUAAUGUCUGGCUUUGACAUCAGGGUAAUAUCAGCUUCAAGUAAAGAGUUGGUAUUCAUUCUUCUCUUCAAUGUUCUGGAAGAGUCUAUGUAGAAUUGAUAUUAUUUCUUUUGUAAUGUUUAUUAGCAUUGACCAGUGAAGCCAUCUAAGCCCAGAAUUUGCUUUGUGGGAAGCUCUUUAACUGCAGAUUCAAUCUCUUUAAUAGAUACAAGGCUAUUUAGGUAAUCAGUCUCUUCUUGAGUGACCUUUGAUCAUUUUGUCUUUCAAGGAAUUUGUCCAUUUCAUCUAGGUCUUUAAAUUUAUUGACAUAAAGUUAUCAUUCUCUUAUUAUCCUUUUAAUCUCUGUCAUAUCUGUAGCGACAUUGCUCCCCUAUCCCUGAUACUAGUAACUUGUGGAUUCUCUCUCUUUUUUUUUGUUUCCUGAUUAGUCUGGCAAGAGGUUUAUCAGUUUUACAGGUCUCAAAAAACUUUUGAUUUUCCAUUUUUGUUUGUUUGUUUGUUUAUCUUCAUUAUUUCCUUCCUUCUGCUUACUUUGUUUUAAAUUUGCCUUCUCCAGCCCCAACCCCCAAUUUCUUAAGAUGAAAUCUGAGACCAUUUGCUUGAGACCUUUCUUCUUUUCUAACACAAAGAUCUUUAUAUUACUAUAAAGAUCUCCCUAAAUAUUACAUCAACAGCAUUUCACCGAUUUUUAUAUGCUGCUUUUUACUUUCAUUCAAUUCAGAAUGUUAACUCCCUUUUGAUUUCUUCUUUGACCCAUGAGUCAUUUAGACAUUUGUUAUUUAGUUUCCAAAUAAAUAACAAAUAAAUCUCUGUUAUUGAUUUAUAGUUUAAUUUAAUUAUGGUAAGAGAACAUUCUUC